Molecule: transfer RNA, 76 nt
Filed under: Lentisphaeria bacterium
Lineage: Bacteria; Pseudomonadati; Lentisphaerota; Lentisphaeria
Description: tRNA-Arg
Rfam family: tRNA
About the family: Transfer RNA (tRNA) molecules are approximately 80 nucleotides in length. Their secondary structure includes four short double-helical elements and three loops (D, anti-codon, and T loops). Further hydrogen bonds mediate the characteristic L-shaped molecular structure. tRNAs have two regions of fundamental functional importance: the anti-codon, which is responsible for specific mRNA codon recognition, and the 3' end, to which the tRNAs corresponding amino acid is attached (by aminoacyl-tRNA synthetases). tRNAs cope with the degeneracy of the genetic code in two manners: having more than one tRNA (with a specific anti-codon) for a particular amino acid; and 'wobble' base-pairing, i.e. permitting non-standard base-pairing at the 3rd anti-codon position.
Source: RNAcentral
GCUCCGGUAGCUCAGGGGAUAGAGCAACGGUCUUCUAAACCGUCGGUCGCUGGUUCGAUCCCAGCCCGGAGUGCCA